CCUACGGGAGGCAGCAGUGGGGAAUAUUGCACAAUGGGGGAAACCCUGAUGCAGCGACGCCGCGUGAGUGAAGAAGUACUUCGGUAUGUAAAGCUCUAUCAGCAGGGAAGAAAAUUACGGUACCUGAGUAAGAAUCCCCGGCUAACUACGUGCCAGCAGCCGCGGUAAUACGUAGGGGGCAAGCGUUAUCCGGAUUUACUGGGUGUAAAGGGAGCGUAGACGGGAGUGCAAGUCUGGAGUGAAAGGCGGGGGCUCAACCCACGGACUGCUCUGGAGACUGUACGGCUGGAGUGCAGUAGAGGUAAGUGGAAUUCCUAGUGUAGCGGUGAAAUGCGUAGAUAUUAGGAGGAACACCAGUUGCGAAGGCAGCUUACUGGACUGUAACUGACGUUGAGGCUCGAAAGCGUGGGGAGCAAACAGGAUUAGAUACCCCAGUAGUC
RNAcentral lists this ribosomal RNA (440 nucleotides) under uncultured bacterium. RNAcentral describes it as "partial 16S ribosomal RNA". It matches the Rfam family "Bacterial small subunit ribosomal RNA", at positions 338 to 795 of the family's 1533-position model. The record is from RNAcentral.